This 301-nucleotide ribosomal RNA is filed under the name uncultured bacterium. Its description in RNAcentral is "partial 16S ribosomal RNA". It matches the Rfam family "Bacterial small subunit ribosomal RNA", at positions 509 to 807 of the family's 1533-position model. The record is from RNAcentral.
CAGUAGCCGCGGGAAUACGGAGGGUGCAAGCGUUAAUCGGAAUUACUGGGCGUAAAGCGCACGCAGGCGGUUUGUUAAGUCGGAUGUGAAAUCCCCGAGCUUAACUUGGGAACUGCAUUUGAAACUGGCAAGCUAGAGUCUUGUAGAGGGGGGUAGAAUUCCAGGUGUAGCGGUGAAAUGCGUAGAGAUCUGGAGGAAUACCGGUGGCGAAGGCGGCCCCCUGGACAAAGACUGACGCUCAGGUGCGAAAGCGUGGGGAGCAAACAGGAUUAGAUACCCCAGUAGUCCCUGUCUCUUAUAC